CCUGGCUCAGAAUCAACGCUGGCGGCGUGCCUAACACAUGCAAGUCGCACGAGAAAGUGGGGGCAACUCCAUGAGUAAAGUGGCGUACGGGUGAGUAACACGUGACUAACCUACCUCCGAGUGGGGAAUAACUCCGGGAAACCGGGGCUAAUACCGCAUAACAUCUACGGAUCAAAGCAGUAAUGCGCUUGGAGAGGGGGUCGCGGCUGAUUAGCUAGUUGGUAAGGUAAUGGCUUACCAAGGCGACGAUCAGUAUCCGGCCUGAGAGGGCGCACGGACACACUGGAACUGAAACACGGUCCAGACUCCUACGGGAGGCAGCAGUGGGGAAUUUUGCGCAAUGGGGGAAACCCUGACGCAGCAACGCCGCGUGGAGGAUGAAGGUCUUUGGAUUGUAAACUCCUUUCGAUCGGGACGAUUAUGACGGUACCGGAAGAAGAAGCACCGGCUAACUCUGUGCCAGCAGCCGCGGUAAUACAGAGGGUGCAAGCGUUGUUCGGAAUUAUUGGGCGUAAAGGGCGCGUAGGCGGUGCGGUAAGUCUCUAGUGAAAUCUCCGGGCUCAACUCGGAGCCUGCUAGGGAAACUGCCGUGCUUGAGUGUGGGAGAGGUGAGUGGAAUUCCCGGUGUAGCGGUGAAAUGCGUAGAUAUCGGGAGGAACACCUGUGGCGAAAGCGGCUCACUGGACCACAACUGACGCUGAGGCGCGAAAGCUAGGGGAGCAAACAGGAUUAGAUACCCUGGUAGUCCUAGCCCUAAACGAUGAUUGCUUGGUGUAACAGGUACCCAAUCCUGUUGUGCCGAAGCUAACGCGAUAAGCAAUCCGCCUGGGGAGUACGGUCGCAAGGCUGAAACUCAAA
Molecule: ribosomal RNA, 858 nt
Filed under: uncultured bacterium
Lineage: Bacteria
Description: bacterial SSU rRNA
Rfam family: Bacterial small subunit ribosomal RNA
Source: RNAcentral